Molecule: ribosomal RNA, 468 nt
Filed under: uncultured bacterium
Lineage: Bacteria
Description: partial 16S ribosomal RNA
Rfam family: Bacterial small subunit ribosomal RNA
Source: RNAcentral
GACGAACGCUAGCGGCGUGCUUAACACAUGCAAGUCGAACGGAAAGGCCCUGCUUUUGUGGGGUGCUCGAGUGGCGAACGGGUGAGUAACACGUGAGUAACCUGCCCUUGACUUUGGGAUAACUUCAGGAAACUGGGGCUAAUACCGGAUAGGAGCUCCUGCUGCAUGGUGGGGGUUGGAAAGUUUCGGCGGUUGGGGAUGGACUCGCGGCUUAUCAGCUUGUUGGUGGGGUAGUGGCUUACCAAGGCUUUGACGGGUAGCCGGCCUGAGAGGGUGACCGGCCACAUUGGGACUGGGAUACGGCCCAGACUCCUACGGGAGGCAGCAGUGGGGAAUAUUGCACAAUGGGCGGAAGCCUGAUGCAGCAACGCCGCGUGCGGGAUGACGGCCUUCGGGUUGUAAACCGCUUUCGCCUGUGACGAAGCGUGAGUGACGGUAAUGGGUAAAGAAGCACCGGCUAACUACGUG